This 88-nucleotide transfer RNA is filed under the name Clostridiales bacterium. Its description in RNAcentral is "tRNA-Ser". It matches the Rfam family "tRNA". From Rfam's summary of the family: Transfer RNA (tRNA) molecules are approximately 80 nucleotides in length. Their secondary structure includes four short double-helical elements and three loops (D, anti-codon, and T loops). Further hydrogen bonds mediate the characteristic L-shaped molecular structure. tRNAs have two regions of fundamental functional importance: the anti-codon, which is responsible for specific mRNA codon recognition, and the 3' end, to which the tRNAs corresponding amino acid is attached (by aminoacyl-tRNA synthetases). tRNAs cope with the degeneracy of the genetic code in two manners: having more than one tRNA (with a specific anti-codon) for a particular amino acid; and 'wobble' base-pairing, i.e. permitting non-standard base-pairing at the 3rd anti-codon position. The record is from RNAcentral. Lineage: Bacteria; Bacillati; Bacillota; Clostridia; Eubacteriales.
GGAGAAGUACCCAAGUGGUUGAAGGGACUCGCCUGGAAAGCGGGUAGGUUGUGAAAGCGGCGCGAGGGUUCAAAUCCCUCCUUCUCCG